RNAcentral lists this ribosomal RNA (577 nucleotides) under Actinomycetales bacterium RDB-097. RNAcentral's name for it is "bacterial SSU rRNA". It matches the Rfam family "Bacterial small subunit ribosomal RNA", at positions 102 to 694 of the family's 1533-position model. Lineage: Bacteria; Bacillati; Actinomycetota; Actinomycetes; Actinomycetales. The record is from RNAcentral.
ACGGGUGAGUACACGUGGGUGAUCUGCCCUGCACUUCCGGAUAAGCCUGGCAAACUGGAUCUAGUACCGGAAAUCACCUUGCGAUGCCUGUCCUUUGGUGGAAAGCUUUUGCGGUGUGGGAUGGGCCCGCGGCCUAUCACCUUGUUGGUGGGGUUAACGCCUACCAUGGCGACCACGGGUAGCCGGCCUGAUAGGGUGACCGGCCACACUGGGACUGACAUACGGCCCGCACUCCUACGGGAGGCAGCAGUGGGGAAUAUUGCACAAUGGGCGCAAGCCUGGUGCACCGACUUCACGUGAGGGACGACGGCCUUCGGGUUGUAAACCUCUUUCAGCACAGACGAAGCGCGAGUGACGGUAUGUGCAGAAGAAGGACCGGCCAACUACGUGCCAGCAGCCGCGGUAAUACGUAGGGUCCGAGCGUUGUCCGGAAUUACUGGGCGUAAAGAGCUCGUAGGUGGUUUGUCGCGUUGUUCGUGAAAACUCACAGCUCAACUGUGGGCGUGCGGGCGAUACGGGCAGACUAGAGUACUGCAGGGGAGACUGGAAUUCCUGGUGUAGCGGUGGAAUGCGCAGA